RNAcentral lists this non-coding RNA (27 nucleotides) under Cricetulus griseus (Chinese hamster). The record is from RNAcentral. Lineage: Eukaryota; Metazoa; Chordata; Mammalia; Rodentia; Cricetidae.
AAUAGAAGUUAUGGCGCAGUUGGACUU